Hemicordylus capensis (graceful crag lizard) is the source of this 616-nucleotide long non-coding RNA. RefSeq lists it as uncharacterized. The transcript has 2 exons. The record is from RefSeq and is a predicted model, not a curated record. NCBI's taxonomy places the organism in Eukaryota, Metazoa, Chordata, Lepidosauria, Squamata, Cordylidae.
UGCUGUUAAGCCAGGAAGCACAGGGAGCCAUCUACGGAAUAGGAGGCGGAGAUGGAGGCAGGGCAGGAUGGGCAGCUUGAGGAGUUUUCUGGAAGAUCCAAGUCUGGGCUUGUACAUCACCUCAUCUGAGAUUAUUGUAUGAGGAUUCCCCUCCAUGAGGUUUCCAUGGGCAAUAGCUUGGGGGAGACACUGUAAGGAGUCAGGCCAUCUGUAGCUGCAAAUUUGCAAAGUGACAGUGGAAUGAUUCGGUGAAUCCUUCCAUCCACUUCAGUGGAAAUUGAUGCUUGAGUCUGCUCUACAUCACUGCCACCUCCCUGCUCGAACACUGCAAGGGGAGUCUGUGCGACAUACCGAAACUGAGGAAACCACAUCCCCGCUAGGGAGCGUUUUGAGAAAAACAGCGUGGCCAUCAUUCAGCAGUUUUUCUUGUGCUGAAAAGCCGACUAUUUCCUCUACGUUGCUGAAGCCAGCAACAAAGCCUGGAUGGUUGCUUGUAUGAUGAAAGCAUCUGGCUGGAACACAGCACAACGCUCCACCGACCCUGCUUCCUGAAUAUGCAGAUUUCUUUUUUCGCAUCUCUUUGUCCAUCUGGAAAAUAAAAUGUAGUUUUCCUUUC